RNAcentral lists this ribosomal RNA (165 nucleotides) under uncultured bacterium. RNAcentral describes it as "partial 16S rRNA". It matches the Rfam family "Bacterial small subunit ribosomal RNA", at positions 355 to 511 of the family's 1533-position model. The record is from RNAcentral.
UAGGGAAUCUUCGGCAAUGGGGGCAACCCUGGCCGAGCAACGCCGCGUGAGUGAAGAAGGUUUUCGGAUCGUAAAGCUCUGUUGUAAGAGAAGAACGUGUGUGAGAGUGGAAAGUUCACACAGUGACGGUAACUUACCAGAAAGGGACGGCUAACUACGUGCCAG